This 528-nucleotide unclassified non-coding RNA is filed under the name Hevea brasiliensis (rubber tree). The record is from RNAcentral. Lineage: Eukaryota; Viridiplantae; Streptophyta; Magnoliopsida; Malpighiales; Euphorbiaceae.
GGCAGAGUUACCAGUUGAAAUAGUUGAUACUCGCCUAAUGCAAGCGCGUGAGAUACUUGAAGACUUGUUGAAGCCUGUGGAUGAAUCUCAGGAUUUCUAUAAGAAGCAGCAGCUAAGAGAGCUAGCAAUGUUGAAUGGUACACUUCGCGAAGAAGGUUCUCCAAUGUCUGGUUCAGUCUCCCCCUUCCACAGCAGUCUUGGUAUGAAGAGGGCCAAGACAAGGGGGUAAUGGAUCCCCAUUCUUAUUUGGCUUUUGGAGCAUGUGUGUUUGUCCUGCCAGUAAUCAGCGGUUCCCAUGCCACAGAUGUUGCUGUGUCAGCUAUUGCCUCCGACUGCCGUCGGGGGACUGGCAAUGUUGGGUGUGCUAGUUCUAACUUGUCUCUAUAUGAAGUGUGUCUAUCUUAUGUUUGGGGGAGGUUUAUCGACAGUAUCACAUGGUAAAGGAGCCAGUUGAGUUCGGGGGUUUGCUUCCAAGACUGCCCUUGUAUUAAAUUAGGCUUUACUAUAUAAGUGUGUAUUGACAUUUUU